CCUACGGGAGGCAGCAGUGAGGAAUAUUGGUCAAUGGACGAGAGUCUGAACCAGCCAAGUAGCGUGAAGGAUGACUGCCCUAUGGGUUGUAAACUUCUUUUAUACAGGAAUAAAACGAGGCACGUGUGCCUUUUUGCAUGUACUUUAUGAAUAAGGAUCGGCUAACUCCGUGCCAGCAGCCGCGGUAAUACGGAGGAUCCGAGCGUUAUCCGGAUUUAUUGGGUUUAAAGGGAGCGUAGAUGGGUUGUUAAGUCAGUUGUGAAAGGUUGCGGCUCAACCGUAAAAUUGCAAUUGAUACUGGCAGUCUUGAGUACAGUUGAGGUAGGCGGAAUUCGUGGUGUAGCGGUGAAAUGCUUAGAUAUCACGAAGAACCCCGAUUGCGAAGGCAGCUUACUAAACUGUGACUGACAUUGAUGCUCGAAAGUGUGGGUAUCAAACAGGAUUAGAUACCCUGGUAGUC
RNAcentral lists this ribosomal RNA (460 nucleotides) under uncultured bacterium. RNAcentral describes it as "partial 16S ribosomal RNA". It matches the Rfam family "Bacterial small subunit ribosomal RNA", at positions 338 to 795 of the family's 1533-position model. The record is from RNAcentral.